Long non-coding RNA from Ceratitis capitata (Mediterranean fruit fly), 787 nucleotides. RefSeq lists it as uncharacterized. The record is from RefSeq and is a predicted model, not a curated record. The transcript has 4 exons. NCBI's taxonomy places the organism in Eukaryota, Metazoa, Arthropoda, Insecta, Diptera, Tephritidae.
GGUCCAGUCCGGGCCGUCGUGCACUGGUACGCUGUGUUGGACAAGCGAGUUUGUCUAGUUACUGUUGUUGCUGUUGUUGCUGGUGCUGUUGUUGGUUGAGUGUUAAUUUGUUCGUUGACUUCAUGGUUUUUAAUGCACGCAAUCGCCGCGGAGUUUCCGUUUUUAGUCGCAGUUACCAGCCGGAAGGCGUUGAAAAUAUCGCGUUUUAAUGUGUUUACCGCACAUACAUGCGCACAUACAUACUCAUACCCACACAUUGAAUACCAGUUAACGCUGGUUUCAGAGAGCAACAGAGACAGAUUGAGAGAGGGAGGGAGAAAGUAGUAGUUGAAACUGAAAUUCGAGAUGAAAUCGAUGGAUGAAUAGAAGAAUGAGAGAAUGAAAUUUAAAAAAUUACUCAACAACUAAAGACAACUCCAACUACAGGGAAACAUUAUGGAGGAAAAAAAUUGUAAUAAUUUAUACAACUAUUUAAUUAACAUUUUAACAAAAAAUAUAGCGCAUAAUUCAAAACACACAAUGGCAGCUUAAUGAAUAAAAGUGCGCUUUCAGUUUUUUAUAGCCCUGCAAUAUUAUUGAUGUACCCACAUACGUACUUAUGCAUAAGCUUAUGUAAAUAUACGCAACGAAACCACUAACACAGAGUUUCUACUUCCUCGAGCAUUUCCGCAAUUUCCAUUCGGUCUAACAAUGUAAUUAGUCUGACUGGCUUGGCUGGCAGGCUGACGGCUGCCGGUUUACAUUUAAUUCAAAUAUUUUAAUACAACAGAGCAACAGUGGAGAUUUU